CCUACGGGUGGCAGCAGUGAGGAAUAUUGGUCAAUGGGAGGAAUCCUGAACCAGCCAUGCCGCGUGCAGGACGACGGCUCUACGAGUUGUAAACUGCUUUUGUACCGGGGUAAAAUGCUCUACGAGUAGGGUUUUGCAAGUACGGUACGAAUAAGGAUCGGCUAACUCCGUGCCAGCAGCCGCGGUAAUACGGAGGAUCCGAGCGUUAUCCGGAUUUAUUGGGUUUAAAGGGUGCGUAGGUUGUUUUAUAAGUCAGCGGUGAAAGACCGAUGCUCAACCGUGGGGUUGCCGUUGAUACUGUAGGCCUAGAGAUCGGAUGCAGCAGGCGGAAUGUGUAGUGUAGCGGUGAAAUGCAUAGAUAUUACGCAGAACACCGAUUGCGAAGGCAGCUUGCUAGGCCGGAUCUGACACUGAUGCACGAAAGCGUGGGUAUCGAACAGGAUUAGAUACCCCAGUAGUC
Molecule: ribosomal RNA, 460 nt
Filed under: uncultured bacterium
Lineage: Bacteria
Description: partial 16S ribosomal RNA
Rfam family: Bacterial small subunit ribosomal RNA
Source: RNAcentral